GGUGGCGAUCAUACCAGCACUAAAGCAUCGGAUCCCACCAGAACUCCGAAGUUAAGCGUGCUUGGGCGAGUGUAUUUCUAGGAUGGGUGACCUCCUAGGUAUUUCUAAGCGUGCUUGGACUUC
This 123-nucleotide ribosomal RNA is filed under the name Oryza punctata. The record is from RNAcentral. Lineage: Eukaryota; Viridiplantae; Streptophyta; Magnoliopsida; Poales; Poaceae.